Long non-coding RNA from Hyla sarda, 388 nucleotides. RefSeq lists it as uncharacterized. The record is from RefSeq and is a predicted model, not a curated record. The transcript is spliced from 3 exons. Lineage: Eukaryota; Metazoa; Chordata; Amphibia; Anura; Hylidae.
GUAUACAGAAAAACCAAAUUGUCAUCUUUUCCAGCUGGAGAGUUAUUCAUUCGGAUAUAAUGCCACUGCUGUGUGAUCCUGCACACAUCAGUCAUACAGCCACUUGUAUACCCAACGUGUAAGGGGAAAGAGGUAGCUACCUCUAAGAAGCUAUCUAAUAUAAGAUUUUUCCUGCCAUGGUGGGGAGAAACAGCAGCAAUGCUUUGGUGCCUUGGUGCCACGUGCUGUUGCAGCCAGAGGCCUGGAGAGUCACUGAUUGGUUUUGGCAGUCACCUGCCAACCUCAGGCACAACAGGGGAUCAGCAAAGAAAUGUAGGAGAAACAGAAGCUAGGAGGAAUGGCACAAGGAGGCAUUGUGAAGAGAUAUGAGCCAGGAUAUUAAAAUUAC